GUCGAACGAAGGCCCUAGCUUGCUAGGUGUCCUUAGUGGCGCACGGGUGAGUAACACGUGGGAACAUACCUCAUAGUACGGAAUAACUGCGGGAAACUGUAGCUAAUACCGUAUAUUCCAGUAAUGGGAAAGAUUUAUCGCUAUGAGAUUGGCCCGCGCAAGAUUAGUUUGUUGGUAAGGUAAUGGCUUACCAAGGCUACGAUCUUUAGCUGGUUUGAGAGGAUGAUCAGCCACACUGGGACUGAGACACGGCCCAGACUCCUACGGGAGGCAGCAGUAGGGAAUAUUGGACAAUGGGGGCAACCCUGAUCCAGCAAUGCAGCGUGAGUGACGAAGGCCUUAGGGUUGUAAAACUCUUUCAUCGGUGAUGAUAAUGACAGUAACCGAAGAAGAAGGACCGGCUAAUUCCGUGCCAGCAGCCGCGGUAAUACGGAAGGUCCUAGCGUUGUUCGGAAUUACUGGGCGUAAAGCGCAUGUAGGCGGAACAGAAAGUUAGAAGUGAAAUCCCUGGGCUCAACCUAGGAAUUGCUUUUAAAACUUCUGUUCUGGAAUUCAGGAGAGGAAAAUGGAAUAUCCAGUGUAGAGGUGAAAUUCGUAGAUAUUGGAUGGAACACCAGUGGCGAAGGCGAUUUUCUGGACUGAUAUUGACGCUGAGAUGCGAAGGCAUGGGUAGCAAACGGGAUUAGAUACCCCGGUAGUCCAUGCAGUAAACGAUGGGUGCUAGUCGUCGGACUUAUGUUCGGUGUCGUAGCUAACGCGUUAAGCACCCCGCC
Molecule: ribosomal RNA, 773 nt
Filed under: uncultured marine bacterium
Lineage: Bacteria
Description: bacterial SSU rRNA
Rfam family: Bacterial small subunit ribosomal RNA
Source: RNAcentral